AGUGAACGCUGGCGGUAGGCCUAACACAUGCAAGUCGAACGGCAGCACAGGAGAGCUUGCUCUCUGGGUGGCGAGUGGCGGACGGGUGAGGAAUACAUCGGAAUUUACUCUGUCGUGGGGGAUAACGUAGGGAAACUUACGCUAAUACCGCAUACGACCUACGGGUGAAAGCAGGGGACCUUCGGGCCUUGCGCGAUUGAAUGAGCCGAUGUCGGAUUAGCUAGUUGGCGGGGUAAAGGCCCACCAAGGCGACGAUCCGGAGCUGGUCUGAGAGGAUGAUCAGCCACACUGGAACUGAGACACGGUACAGACUCCUACGGGAGGCAGCAGUGGGGAAUAUUGGACAAUGGGCGCAAGCCUGAUCCAGCCAUACCGCGUGGGUGAAGAAGGCCUUCGGGUUGUAAAGCCCUUUUGUUGGGAAAGAAAUCCAGCUGGCUAAUACCCGGUUGGGAUGACGGUACCCAAAGAAUAAGCACCGGCUAACUUCGUGCCAGCAGCCGCAGUAA
RNAcentral lists this ribosomal RNA (506 nucleotides) under uncultured bacterium. RNAcentral describes it as "partial 16S ribosomal RNA". It matches the Rfam family "Bacterial small subunit ribosomal RNA", at positions 29 to 523 of the family's 1533-position model. The record is from RNAcentral.